UAGGCCGGGUGUGUAAGCGCAGCGAUGCGUUGAGCUAACCGGUACUAAUGACCCGUGAGGCUUAACCUUA
RNAcentral lists this ribosomal RNA (70 nucleotides) under Pantoea allii. RNAcentral's name for it is "partial 23S ribosomal RNA". The record is from RNAcentral. Lineage: Bacteria; Pseudomonadati; Pseudomonadota; Gammaproteobacteria; Enterobacterales; Erwiniaceae.